CAAGAAGUAAUUUAAGCAGAAUGUCUGCUUUGGGCGCCGACAGUGAAGAAAAUUUCUUCCUUCUUGA
RNAcentral lists this transfer RNA (67 nucleotides) under Gerbilliscus leucogaster (Bushveld gerbil). Its description in RNAcentral is "tRNA-Pro". Lineage: Eukaryota; Metazoa; Chordata; Mammalia; Rodentia; Muridae. The record is from RNAcentral.